GAGAUGGAUUGGUGCCUUCGGGAACUGUGAGACAGGUGCUGCAUGGCUGUCGUCAGCUCGUGUUGUGAAAUGUUGGGUUAAGUCCCGCAACGAGCGCAACCCUUAUCCUUUGUUGCCAGCGGUUAGGCCGGGAACUCAAAGGAGACUGCCAGUGAUAAACUGGAGGAAGGUGGGGAUGACGUCAAGUCAUCAUGGCCCUUACGACCAGGGCUACACACGUGCUACAAUGGCAUAUACAAAGAGAAGCGACCUCGCGAGAGCAAGCGGACCUCAUAAAGUAUGUCGUAGUCCGGAUUGGAGUCUGCAACUCGACUCCAUGAAGUCGGAAUCGCUAGUAAUCGUAGAUCAGAAUGCUACGGUGAAUACGUUCCCGGGCCUUGUACACACCGCCCGUCACACCAUGGGAGUGGGUUGCAAAAGAAGUAGGUAGCUUAACCUUCGGGAGGGCGCUUACCACUUUGUGAUUCAUGACUGGGGUGAAGUCGUAACAAGGUAACCGUAGGGGAACCUGCGGUUGGAUCACCUCCUUACCUUAAAGAA
RNAcentral lists this ribosomal RNA (540 nucleotides) under Klebsiella pneumoniae. RNAcentral describes it as "bacterial SSU rRNA". It matches the Rfam family "Bacterial small subunit ribosomal RNA", at positions 1003 to 1533 of the family's 1533-position model. Lineage: Bacteria; Pseudomonadati; Pseudomonadota; Gammaproteobacteria; Enterobacterales; Enterobacteriaceae. The record is from RNAcentral.